AUGUCAACACAUGCGGUGAAUCCCCAAACUGACCUGACGAUUGGUGGUAACCACACGUCGCCUCCAUUGAGGAUCAAUGAGGCUUCUAGUCUGAGCAAUCCUAUGAACUCCCUGAUGUUCUUCGACGCCUUUUCAAGUGCUUUCACUGUGCUCUCCAGCUUGUCCUCAGCGCUAGAGAAGAGCGCCACCGAAGCGGUGCGGAUGCAUCAUGCCAUGCUGGACCACACAUUUCUCGUGAAAUACAGUGGUAAUACCAGCACCAUGCUGGUCAUCAUUGUUCCAGUGAGUGGCUUUGUCUGUUGCAUGAUGUUUGAACCUGAGAAGCACCUCGUCACCAUGGGCGGCAGCCUCCUUGAGCUUCUCCAGCCACUGGACCAGCGUGGUACUUUUUAUGGUCUGCUUCGCUCACACCUCGACCGCGCUGCGAAUCCUCAUGAGGAGCAGCUUCUCAUCAGCGGCCAUCUGCCAGUUGAAGUUCUACAUGAACUUGGACACUGCCCUGUCCUGUCACCACGGCGGCCACUGCUGCGGCAAUGGUGGCAACCACUUGUGCCAUGGCUAGCUCUCAAACAAGGUUGGUUUCAACCAAGAAGGGUGCUGCUGCCAUGCUUCAGCGGGCAAAAAGGCCACGUUAGGAACAUGAGGCUAAUAUGGAAGACUCGUGUUUGGCUUAACAUGGGAUGGAAUUGGUGA
Molecule: ribosomal RNA, 693 nt
Filed under: Triticum aestivum (bread wheat)
Lineage: Eukaryota; Viridiplantae; Streptophyta; Magnoliopsida; Poales; Poaceae
Description: partial small subunit ribosomal RNA
Source: RNAcentral